RNAcentral lists this ribosomal RNA (253 nucleotides) under uncultured bacterium. RNAcentral's name for it is "partial 16S ribosomal RNA". It matches the Rfam family "Bacterial small subunit ribosomal RNA", at positions 524 to 776 of the family's 1533-position model. The record is from RNAcentral.
UACGAAGGGGGCUAGCGUUGCUCGGAAUUACUGGGCGUAAAGGGAGCGUAGGCGGACAGCUAAGUCAGAGGUGAAAGCCCAGGGCUCAACCCUGGAAUUGCCUUUGAUACUGGCUGUCUUGAGUAUGGGAGAGGUGUGUGGAACUCCGAGUGUAGAGGUGAAAUUCGUAGAUAUUCGGAAGAACACCAGUGGCGAAGGCGACACACUGGCCCAUUACUGACGCUGAGGCACGAAAGCGUGGGGAGCAAACAGG